This 305-nucleotide ribosomal RNA is filed under the name uncultured bacterium. RNAcentral's name for it is "bacterial SSU rRNA". It matches the Rfam family "Bacterial small subunit ribosomal RNA", at positions 334 to 656 of the family's 1533-position model. The record is from RNAcentral.
CAUACCUACGGGGGGCAGCAGUGGGGAAUAUCGCACAAUGGGGGGAACCCUGAUGCAGCGACGCCGCGUGAGUGAAGAAGUAUUUCGGUAUGUAAAGCUCUAUCAGCAGGGAAGAUAAUGACGGUACCUGACUAAGAAGCCCCGGCUAACUACGUGCCAGCAGCCGCGGUAAUACGUAGGGGGCAAGCGUUAUCCGGAUUUACUGGGUGUAAAGGGAGCAUAGGCGGCCAUGCAAGUCAGAAGUGAAAACCCGGGGCUCAACCCUGGGAGUGCUUUUGAAACUGUGCGGCUAGAGUGUCGGAGGG